UACGGAGGGUGCAAGCGUUAAUCGGAAUUACUGGGCGUAAAGCGCACGCAGGUGGCUGAGUCAGUCGAUUGUGAAAGCCCUGGGCUUAACCUGGGAAUUGCAGUCGAUACUACUCAGCUAGAGUAUGGGAGAGGGCAGUGGAAUUCCAGGUGUAGCGGUGAAAUGCGUAGAUAUCUGGAGGAACAUCAGUGGCGAAGGCGACACCCUGGACUCAUACUGACACUGAGGUGCGAAAGCGUGGGGAGCAAACAGG
Molecule: ribosomal RNA, 253 nt
Filed under: uncultured bacterium
Lineage: Bacteria
Description: partial 16S ribosomal RNA
Rfam family: Bacterial small subunit ribosomal RNA
Source: RNAcentral